This 253-nucleotide ribosomal RNA is filed under the name uncultured bacterium. RNAcentral's name for it is "partial 16S ribosomal RNA". It matches the Rfam family "Bacterial small subunit ribosomal RNA", at positions 524 to 776 of the family's 1533-position model. The record is from RNAcentral.
UACGUAGGUCCCGAGCGUUAUCCGGAGUUACUGGGCGUAAAGAGUCCGUAGCCGGUUAUAUAAGUCUGCUUUCAAAGACCGAGGCUCAACUUCGGGAAGGGAGCAGAUACUGUAAAGCUAGUGGUAGAUGGAGGUUAGUGGAAUUUCCUGUGGAGGGGUGAAAUCCGUUGAUAUAGGAAGGAAUGCCGAAAGCGAAAGCAGCUAACCAUGUCUAAUCAGACUGUGAGGGACGAAAGCAUGGGGAUCGAACAGG